AGUGGCGGACGGGUGGGUAACUCGGGGAUCUGCGGGAUAGUGUGGGAUACCCCGAAGAGAUUCGGAUUAGUGGGCAUAAUCUGUUCGUAGUAGGGUGGGGGACUUUCUAGGCGGCUAUCCGAUGUGCCUGCGUGUAUGAGCUAGUUGGUAGGGUAAAAGCCUACCAAGGCUACGGUCUUUAUCUGGGCGAGAGGAUGAUCAGCCACGUCGGGACUGACACACGGCCCGAACUCCUACGGGAGGCAGCAGUGGGGAAUAUUGGACAAUGGGGGCAACCCUGAUCCAGCAAUACCGCGUGUGUGAAGAAGGCCUGAGGGUUGUAAAGCACUUUCAAUUGUGAAGAAAAGCUAGUGGUUAAUAGCCAUUAGCCUUGACGUUAACUUUAGAAGAAGCACCGGCUAACUCCGUGCCAGCAGCCGCGGUAAUACGGAGGGUGCAAGCGUUAAUCGGAAUUACUGGGCGUAAAGCGUGCGUAGGCGGUUUAUUAAGUCAGAUGUGAAAGCCCCGGGCUUAACCUGGGAACUGCAUUUGAAACUGGUCAACUAGAGUAUGGUAGAGGAAAGUGGAAUUUCUGGUGUGGCGGUGAAAUGCGUAGAUAUCAGAACGGACAUCAAUGGCGAAUGCAACUUUCUGGACCCAUACUGACGCUGAGGUACGAAAGCGUGGGGGUUAGCCAAAACCAGGGGAAAUU
Molecule: ribosomal RNA, 691 nt
Filed under: uncultured bacterium
Lineage: Bacteria
Description: bacterial SSU rRNA
Rfam family: Bacterial small subunit ribosomal RNA
Source: RNAcentral